AGUUUGAUCCUGGCCUCAGAUUGAACGGCUAGGCGGGGAUGCUUUUACACAUGCAAGUCGAACGGCAGCACGAGAAGAAGCUUGCUCUCUUGGUGGCGAGUGGCGGACGGGGUGAGUAAAUAUAUCCGGAACGUGCCCAGUAGCGGGGGAUAACUACUCGAAAGAAGUGGCUAAUACCGCAUACGCCCUACGGGGGAAAGGGGGGGAUUCUUCGGAACCUCUCACUAUUGGAGCGGCCGAUAUCGGAUUAGCUAGUUGGUGGGGUAAAGGCUCACCAAGGCAACGAUCCGUAGCUGGUUUGAGAGGACGACCAGCCACACUGGGAACUGAGACACGGCCCAGACUCCCUACGGGAGGCAGCAGUGGGGAAUUUUGGACAAUGGGGGAAACCCUGAUCCAGCCAUCCCGCGUGUAUGAUGAAGGCCUUCGGGUUGUAAAGUCACUUUUGGCAAGAAGAAGGAAAAGGCUAUUGCUACCUAAGUACGAGAAUA
This 491-nucleotide ribosomal RNA is filed under the name Alcaligenes faecalis. RNAcentral describes it as "bacterial SSU rRNA". It matches the Rfam family "Bacterial small subunit ribosomal RNA", at positions 10 to 487 of the family's 1533-position model. The record is from RNAcentral. Lineage: Bacteria; Pseudomonadati; Pseudomonadota; Betaproteobacteria; Burkholderiales; Alcaligenaceae.